AGAGUUUGAUCAUGGCUCAGGACGAACGCUGGCGGCGUGCUUAACACAUGCAAGUCGAACGAGAAGAGAUGAGAAGCUUGCUUCUAUCAAUUCGAUGGCAAACGGGUGAGUAACGCGUAAGCAACCUGCCCUUCAGAUGGGGACAACAGCUGGAAACGGCUGCUAAUACCGAAUACGUUCUUUUUGUCGCAUGGCAGAGGGAAGAAAGGGAGGCUCUUCGGAGCUUUCGCUGAAGGAGGGGCUUGCGUCUGAUUAGCUUGUUGGCGGGGUAACGGCCCACCAAGGCGACGAUCAGUAGGGGUUCUGAGAGGAAGGUCCCCCACAUUGGAACUGAGACACGGUCCAAACUCCUACGGGAGGCAGCC
This 365-nucleotide ribosomal RNA is filed under the name uncultured bacterium. RNAcentral describes it as "bacterial SSU rRNA". It matches the Rfam family "Bacterial small subunit ribosomal RNA", at positions 8 to 353 of the family's 1533-position model. The record is from RNAcentral.